ACGAACGCUGGCGGCAGGCCUAACACAUGCAAGUCGAGCGCGCCCUUCGGGGUGAGCGGCGGACGGGUGAGUAACGCGUGGGAACGUGCCCUUUUCUACGGAAUAGCCUCGGGAAACUGAGAGUAAUACCGUAUACGCCCUUUGGGGGAAAGAUUUAUCGGAAAAGGAUCGGCCCGCGUUGGAUUAGGUAGUUGGUGGGGUAAUGGCCUACCAAGCCGACGAUCCAUAGCUGGUUUGAGAGGAUGAUCAGCCACACUGGGACUGAGACACGGCCCAAACUCCUACGGGAAGCAGCAGUGGGGAAUCUUAGACAAUGGGGGCAACCCUGAUCUAGCCAUGCCGCGUGAGUGAUGAAGGCCUUAGGGUUGUAAAGCUCUUUCAGCUGGGAAGAUAAUGACGGUACCAGCAGAAGAAGCCCCGGCUAACUCCGUG
Molecule: ribosomal RNA, 432 nt
Filed under: uncultured bacterium
Lineage: Bacteria
Description: partial 16S ribosomal RNA
Rfam family: Bacterial small subunit ribosomal RNA
Source: RNAcentral